UACGGGGGGAGCAAGCGUUGUUCGGAUUUACUGGGCGUAGAGGGCGCGUAGGCGGCGCGACAAGUCACUUGUGAAAUCUCCGGGCUUAACCCGGAGCGGCCAAGUGAUACUGUAGUGCUAGAGUGCGGAAGGGGCUACUGGAAUUCUCGGUGUAGCGGUGAAAUGCGUAGAUAUCGAGAGGAACACCUGCGGCGAAGGCGGGUAGCUGGGCCGACACUGACGCUGAGGCGCGAAAGCCAGGGGAGCGAACGGG
Molecule: ribosomal RNA, 253 nt
Filed under: uncultured bacterium
Lineage: Bacteria
Description: partial 16S ribosomal RNA
Rfam family: Bacterial small subunit ribosomal RNA
Source: RNAcentral